GCAUAUCAAUAAGCGGAGGAAAAGAAACCAACAGGGAUUGCCCUAGUAACGGCGAGUGAAGCGGCAACAGCUCAAAUUUGAAAUCUGGCCUUCUGGUCCGAAUUGUAAUUUGCAGAGGAUGCAUUUGACGCGGUACCUUUCGAGUUCCUUGGAACAGGACGCCUUAGAGGGUGAGAGCCCCGUACGAUUGGCCACCAAGUCUCUGUAAUGCUCCUUCGACGAGUCGAGUAGUUUGGGAAUGCUGCUCUAAAUGGGAGGUAAAUUUCUUCUAAAGCUAAAUACCGGCCAGAGACCGAUAGCGCACAAGUAGAGUGAUCGAAAGAUGAAAAGCACUUUGAAAAGAGGGUUAAAUAGCACGUGAAAUUGUUGAAAGGGAAGCGCUUAUGACCAGACUUUUUCUAGGGGGAUCAUCCGGCGUUCUCGCUGGUGCACUUCCCCUGGUUUAGGCCAACAUCGGUUUCUGCGGGAGGAUAAAGGCUUCGGGAAUGUGACUCCUCCGGGAGUGUUAUAGCCCGUUGCAUAAUACCCUCGCGGGGACCGAGGUACGCGCAUUGCAAGGAUGUUGGCAUAAUGGUCAUCAGUGACCCGUCUUGAAACACGGACCAAGGAGUCGAACAUUUGUGCGAGUGUUUGGGUGUCAAACCCUCACGCGUAAUGAAAGUGAACGGAGGUGAGAGCCUUAGGGUGCAUCAUCGACCGAUCCUGAUGUCUUCGGAUGGAUUUGAGUAAGAGCAUAACUGUUCGGACCCGAAAGAUGGUGAACUAUGCGUGGAUAGGGUGAAGCCAGAGGAAACUCUGGUGGAGGCUCGCAGCGGUUCUGACGUGCAAAUCGCAUCGUCAAAUCUGCGCAUGGGGGCGAAAGACUAAUCGAACCAUCUAGUAGCUGGUUACCGCCGAAG
RNAcentral lists this ribosomal RNA (899 nucleotides) under Hansfordia pulvinata. Its description in RNAcentral is "LSU rRNA". It matches the Rfam family "Eukaryotic large subunit ribosomal RNA", at positions 38 to 966 of the family's 3401-position model. Lineage: Eukaryota; Fungi; Ascomycota; Sordariomycetes; Xylariales. The record is from RNAcentral.